AAAGCGAAGCAGUGAUNUGGAGCAAAACUCAAAAAAAUAAGUCUCAGUUCGGAUUGAAGGCUGAAAUUCGCCUUCAUGAAGCCGGAAUUGCUAGUAAUGGCAGGUCAGCAUACUGCCGUGAAUACGUUCCCGGGCCUUGUACACACCGCCCGUCACACCAUGAGAGUUGGGAAUACCCGAAGCCUGUGAGCUAACUUUUAGAGGCAGCAGUCGAAGGUAGAAUCAAUGAUUGGGGUGAAGUCGUAACAAGGUAAC
RNAcentral lists this ribosomal RNA (255 nucleotides) under uncultured bacterium. Its description in RNAcentral is "partial 16S ribosomal RNA". It matches the Rfam family "Bacterial small subunit ribosomal RNA", at positions 1246 to 1500 of the family's 1533-position model. The record is from RNAcentral.